GUGAUCCUCCUGCUUGGGGAUCUCAAAGAGCUUGGAUCACAGGCAUAAGCCACUGCACCUGGCCACACAAAGACUUUUGAACCAGGAAGUAACCUGGAGAAAUUAUGCAGCAGUGGACAAGUUGGGUGGCCCAGCGAGAAGACUGAAGAGACCUUCAAGAGAGUCGUAGCCAUCAGAGUCAGAGGCAUUUAAAAUAGCAUAAGUACAGCGGGAAGGGAAGCGGUGACUCUGUCAGGCACCAGGAGAAGCAUGAUAGACAGGUUACCCCAUGCCAUUCUCACAAUAACCUACGGAAGUCGAUGUUAUUAAACCCACUUUACAUUUGGAGUUUGUUGAAGCCACUUGCUCUGAAGCAUUUUGAAAAGUUUGUCCUGGUUCUUGUGACUUGAGCAGAGACUGGUCUGCCCCAUCACACCACUGGGUUUCUCAGAAGGAAGAUCCAUGGCGGAGGAGUCGGUGUCUGAUUAGAGGCAAGUGGCACAGGAGGGGUAUGGGCCAGAACAGCUCCCGAGAGCUGGAAGAUGUGACAAGUACUGAUGACAGCAUCAAGAGCAGGGAGGUCGGAAGUGGUUGUGGAUUUUAGCAGAUACAUCCGCUCCUUCAUUAAUUCUAUUCAUUCAAUAGAAGGUUCUGCUGGAGACUCAGCAGCAGAAACAAACAAGCAAACAAAAAAGAGACAAGGAUUUCUGCCCUCAUGGAGUUUACAUUCUAGUGGAGGAGGGGGGAGGAAAUAAACAAGACAGUCAGUUUCCUCUAUAAUAGGUUAGCUGGAGAUGAGUUCUAAGGUGAGAAAUAAAGGAAAGAAGGGAAUUUUCUUUUUUUAAUGUCAAGAUGGUUGCAGUUUCAGAUGGAGUGACCAAGAAAGCGGCACUCGCCUGAAGACCUGGAGCAAGUGAGGGAGUGAGCUGUGAAGACCUCUGGUGGGGAAAGCAUUUUUGGAGGACAGAAUCACAUGUCCAAGGGCCUGGAGAUGAGAGAACUAGCUUGGAGCCCAUGUGGCUGGAGCGGUGCGUUAACAGGGCUUGCUUGGAAGAGAAGAGGUCAGAAUUAACAAGGGGCUAGACCACUUGAGGCCUUGAAGCCAUUGUAAGGACUUGGGGUUCCCUCCUAGGUAGGAGUGGAAAUCUUUCGAAGGCUUUGAGCAGAGAUUGCCAUCUGACUUUCAUGUUAACAGUAUCGGUCUGAUGACGGCAUUGAGAACCCAUGGCCCAAGGGGGCAAGAGAACGAAGGUAAAGCUGGCAGCCUGUGCAAUAAGCCAGUAUUUGGGGGUUCAGGCCUCAGAUUUCAGGAAGAAGCCUAUGAGAGAACAUAAUGUGAAGGGGGUCCCUUUUUCUAUCUGGGAGAUCUGCUCUCCUGGGAUUUUGCUGCCUAUGAAGAGGCCAUGUCAUCACACAGACACCGAGUCAAUGGACCCCUCCCAGUUCUCAGUGGUGAAGCAUCCCAUCAGGACAAGGUUCCUACCUUCAGACCUAUUUUCUCAGGACAGUUCCAACACUGUCUGGGGAAGCUGUAAUUCCUUCCUCGGUAUAAUGGUUUUCUGCACCAUCUGUAAAUAUCUUUUAAGCAGAUCUUCAACAAAUGAUUUUAGUUUCUCAUAAUUCCAGUCAAUCCAACAUUUAUUGAAGGCAUGCACAGAUGGAGGAGAAUGUGUUCUCUGACCUCCUGUCCCAGCUUUUACUCUCCUGGGAUUGGCUGAGAACCCCGAACCAUUGCUUGGCAGGCAGCGCCAAACCUUCAGCUCCAGAUGAGCCAUUUAAUAGGUGCUUAAGAUGAAUUUUUGGAAAUUUUUAAGAGAAAAGCAAUUUCCCUAAGCAUCCAGGAAUGUUUCUUGUGGCUGUUUUUCUAUCCUCUGCAUUUCUCCCUGCUGCAAGGGAUGGCCUGCCACAGCCUCGGCCCAGGGCAUCUGCCACCUGUACACAGGGCCCUAGCCCUCUUUCCUAUUCAAGGACUUGACAUCUUUCUCUUGUAUCAUUGAUUUUCUGUUUCUAGUGAUUCAUCCCUUUGGCAUACCAACAUGGGAUAACAUCCUAUAUUAUGUUUAAAAAUUAAUUAGCAAAUCAAUAAAUCUCUCUUCAACUCCCAAUUCCUUUUUCAUCUGUUACUGUAUUUUGUACCCUUCAUAGCAAGCACUCAGAUGCCACUUUAUUUAUGAGAAUACAGUGUUCUCAUCACAUGGCUUUCAUAUUUCCUGCACUCACCUCCUAGAAUGCUGUUUUCAGGAUCCUUGCAUCCUCACUUCUUUAGACUUCUGCUCCAGCACUUAUUAUGACCUGUGUUAGUCUUCUUUUGCGUUGCAAUAAAGAAAUACCUAAGGCUGGGUAAUUGGUCAAGAAAAGAGGUUUAAUUGGCUCUCGAUUCUGCAGGCUGGACAGGAAGCAUGGAGCUGGUAUCUGCUCCUGGUAAGGGCCUCAGGAAGCUUCCAGUCAUGGUGGAAG
Long non-coding RNA from Sapajus apella (tufted capuchin), 2436 nucleotides. RefSeq lists it as uncharacterized. The record is from RefSeq and is a predicted model, not a curated record. Lineage: Eukaryota; Metazoa; Chordata; Mammalia; Primates; Cebidae. The transcript is spliced from 2 exons.